GGGCGUGACAGCUUUGGUGUGGAUGACACGACACAUGUAUUUGUUGUGCUUGUUGAUUCUUUACGAGCUUGAUGAAAAAAUGUUUGAGCAUCUUAGGGUGUGUGUAUGUAAAAGGUCUUCUUUGUCUUAAAUUCUCAUAUUUAUAGGCCUCUCCAUAUCUUGAUUGAGGCUUCAUUUGGUCUUAAUUUUGGACUUGAUUAAAUGACGACAGAAUCAAGACUUGAUUUGGAAUUGAUUCAUGGAGAAAAGAACCAAGACUUAUUUGUGAUUUUGAUUUCAUCAAAUAAUCUUUGAUUUAAUCAAAUAAAUCAAUCAACUUUCAUCUUUAAUUUAGCUAAUCUCCCCAACUUGACAUUCAUUUCAUUUGUUGAUUAUUUUCUUUAAUUUAAAUCAAGGUUAAUUAAAGAUCAUUCCAUAAUUAUAUUUCGCCUAAUGUCGAUGUGUGCCACUCUUGGUGACUCAUCAGGUUUUGAUAAGUCACAUGCCACGUGUGCAACGUGAAACUGAUACUCACCACGUAAGUCCUGACAAGUCAAAAUUUAAAACCUUAAUUUGGUGGUGAAUAUUUGUUUCACUGAAAUUUUGAUAUCUAUACAAUAUUAUUAUUCUAAGGUAAUCUACGAGUUUGGCUCUAAGAUGUAGUAAGUUAAGCCAUUCAAUACUACGGCCUAAUAAUAUUCAUCUUCACUUGUCAAUGAGAAUUUC
Molecule: long non-coding RNA, 705 nt
Filed under: Malus domestica (apple)
Lineage: Eukaryota; Viridiplantae; Streptophyta; Magnoliopsida; Rosales; Rosaceae
Description: long non-coding RNA (MDOM_LNC013970)
Source: RNAcentral